This 114-nucleotide ribosomal RNA is filed under the name Penicillium oxalicum. Its description in RNAcentral is "partial 18S ribosomal RNA". The record is from RNAcentral. Lineage: Eukaryota; Fungi; Ascomycota; Eurotiomycetes; Eurotiales; Aspergillaceae.
GUUUAUCGUACCUUGUUGCUUCGGCGGGCCCGCCUCACGGCCGCCGGGGGGCAUCCGCCCCCGGGCCCGCGCCCGCCGAAGACACACAAACGAACUCUUGUCUGAAGAUUGCAG